UACGUAGGGUGCGAGCGUUGUCCGGAAUUCUUGGGCGUAAAGGGCUCGUAGGCGGUCUGUCACGUCGGGGGUGAAAACUCAGGGCUUAACCCUGAGCCUGCUUCCGAUACGGGCUGACUAGAGGUAUGCAGGGGAGAACGGAAUUCCUGGUGUAGCGGUGAAAUGCGCAGAUAUCAGGAGGAACACCGGUGGCGAAGGCGGUUCUCUGGGCAUUACCUGACGCUGAGGAGCGAAAGUGUGGGGAGCGAACAGG
This 253-nucleotide ribosomal RNA is filed under the name uncultured bacterium. Its description in RNAcentral is "partial 16S ribosomal RNA". It matches the Rfam family "Bacterial small subunit ribosomal RNA", at positions 524 to 776 of the family's 1533-position model. The record is from RNAcentral.